This 105-nucleotide transfer RNA is filed under the name Stegodyphus mimosarum. It matches the Rfam family "tRNA". Rfam says of the family: Transfer RNA (tRNA) molecules are approximately 80 nucleotides in length. The record is from Rfam by way of RNAcentral. Lineage: Eukaryota; Metazoa; Arthropoda; Arachnida; Araneae; Eresidae.
GUCAGGAUGGCCGAGCGGCUUAAGGCGCCAGAGUCAAGGUGAACCUUCCCAGUGCGUUUGAUCGUUCUGGCGUGGUGGGUGUGGGUUCGAAUCCCACUUCUGACA